Molecule: long non-coding RNA, 884 nt
Organism: Clupea harengus (Atlantic herring)
Lineage: Eukaryota; Metazoa; Chordata; Actinopteri; Clupeiformes; Clupeidae
Source: RefSeq, a predicted model, not a curated record
CCUUCCAGGCGGUGGCGGUAAUAAACAUAUUCCUUGACCCUACAAAUGUUGACUAUAAAAGCGACCGUUCAUCUGAUACUCGGUCUAUUUGAAUCGGGAUACUUCCAGGGUGUCCCUUAACUAAAAGGAAUUCCUGCUUCACUGCACUUCACUGCUUCAGAGAACUGCCAGCAGUUUAGCCUGUUCAAAAGUCUCCUGUUGUGUACUGGUUGUGGGCAUUGCAGAGGCCUUGAUGAGGAUGCACUUCUCGGAUUGUACUCUGAUGCGGUGUGGGAGUGGGUCAAUCUCCUGGAUGUGUGGUGGUUGAAGGGCCAACAUGAGAACCUCAUCUGAACUAAGGUUGAAGGGCCAACAUGAGGACCUCAUCUGAACUAAGCAUGUCUUCGGUCAUCAAGUGAAGUGGGAACCACAUCAUGAGGCUGCAGAGGCAGACACUGCCUAGGUGGAAGCUUUGCUCUAUGAAAGAGAAUUGGCUGCUUGGAUCUUCACAGGCAUCAUCAUGACCUUGGACCUACUCCUGAGGCAUGGCACCCCCUGACUGGAUUUGAGGUGCCAGUUAAUUGUCCUGACCAUCUGUCAUAAAAUGGGUCCAUACAGACCUUGUGUGCAUACAGGUUUGAAAUCCUUGGCAGCAGCCCUGGCCAGACACGGCUGGAAAAAAGGGUCCAUACAGAAAAACGAUCUGAAUGUGUGCUGAGGAGUGGGGAGGUCCAUGCCACAUUUCAGGACCUGAUUUCAACGAGGUUGCCUGCAUCCUCAGUGAUUUGGGUCCCAGCUAGCUACCCCCAAGCUCUACUUCCCUGUUUGCUUCAAGACUUGUUUUGCCAUCACUUUUUUCCUUGUACUACAGUGUUUAUUUGAAUAAAUGUGUGGCUUUCACAUUC